AGACGACGCUGGCGGCGUGCUUACACAUGCAAGUCGAACGGUAAGGCCUUCGGGGUACACGAGUGGCGAACGGUGAGUAACACGUGGUGAUCUGCCUGCACUUUGGGAUAAGCUGGGAAACUGGGUCUAAUACCGAAUAUAACCUGCUGGUCGCAUGGCUGGUGGGGGAAAGCCUUUGCGGUGUGGGAUGGGCCCGCGGCCUAUCAGCUUGUUGGUGGGGUGAUGGCCUACCAAGGCGACGACGGGUAGCCGGCCUGAGAGGGUGACCGGCCACACUGGGACUGAGAUACGGCCCAGACUCCUACGGGAGGCAGCAGUGGGGAAUAUUGCACAAUGGGCGCAAGCCUGAUGCAGCGACGCCGCGUGAGGGAUGACGGCCUUCGGGUUGUAAACCUCUUUCAGCAGGGACGAAGCGCAAGUGACGGUACCUGUAGAAGAAGGACCGGCCAACUACGUGCCAGCAGCCGCGGUAAUACGUAGGGUCCGAGCGUUGUCCGGAAUUACUGGGCGUAAAGAGCUCGUAGGUGGUUUGUCGCGUUGUUCGUGAAAACUCACAGCUUAACUGUGGGCGUGCGGGCGAUACGGGCAGACUGGAGUACUGCAGGGGAGACUGGAAUUCCUGGUGUAGCGGUGGAAUGCGCAGAUAUCAGGAGGAACACCGGUGGCGAAGGCGGGUCUCUGGGCAGUAACUGACGCUGAGGAGCGAAAGCGUGGGGAGCGAACAGGAUUAGAUACCCUGGUAGUCCACGCCGUAAACGGUGGGUACUAGGUGUGGGUUUCCUUCCUUGGGAUCCGUGCCGUAGCUAACGCAUUAAGUACCCCGCCUGGGGAGUACGGCCGCAAGGCUAAAACUCAAAGGAAUUGACGGGGGCCCGCACAAGCGGCGGAGCAUGUGGAUUAAUUCGAUGCAACGCGAAGAACCUUACCUGGGUUUGACAUGCACAGGACGCCGGCAGAGAUGUCGGUUCCCUUGUGGCCUGUGUGCAGGUG
RNAcentral lists this ribosomal RNA (990 nucleotides) under Mycolicibacterium anyangense. RNAcentral describes it as "bacterial SSU rRNA". It matches the Rfam family "Bacterial small subunit ribosomal RNA", at positions 26 to 1040 of the family's 1533-position model. Lineage: Bacteria; Bacillati; Actinomycetota; Actinomycetes; Mycobacteriales; Mycobacteriaceae. The record is from RNAcentral.